UGGUCCAGAUUUGUCUCCUUCUUGGAGACCCUCUUUGGUCGGUCUGGAGAGAGAUUGCAAGAACCAAAUUUGGCCUCGAAAGGAGAGUGCGGAUGGCUCUGCUUCCGAGCCCUCUCAUUAUCUUCAAGGUGGAGAUGGCUAUUACUUUGGAAAGGAUCAUCCUAGCCAUCUAGUGGUCCUACCACAAGGGGAAGGAUCCACCAUUGCAACUCCACCAUUAUAAUGAGAGCUUGCACUUGUUGUGUUAG
RNAcentral lists this long non-coding RNA (248 nucleotides) under Elaeis guineensis (African oil palm). Its description in RNAcentral is "long non-coding RNA (EGUI_LNC051482)". The record is from RNAcentral. Lineage: Eukaryota; Viridiplantae; Streptophyta; Magnoliopsida; Arecales; Arecaceae.